This 698-nucleotide ribosomal RNA is filed under the name Microbacterium sp. RNAcentral describes it as "bacterial SSU rRNA". It matches the Rfam family "Bacterial small subunit ribosomal RNA", at positions 386 to 1097 of the family's 1533-position model. The record is from RNAcentral. Lineage: Bacteria; Bacillati; Actinomycetota; Actinomycetes; Micrococcales; Microbacteriaceae.
AUGCAGCAAUGCCGCGUGAGGGAUGACGGCCUCGGGCGAAACCACUCCCAGCGGGGAGGAGGGUGAAGAGAUUGUACCCGCCAAAAAAUGGCCUGCCAACUACAUGCCACCACCCGCGGUAAUACGUAGGGCGCAAGCGUUAUCCGGAAUUAUUGGGCGUAAAGAGCUCGUACGCGGUUUGUCGCGUCUGCUGUGAAAUCCCGAGGCUCAACCUCGGGUCUGCAGUGUGUACCGGCAAACUACAGUGCGGUAGGGGAGAUUGGAAUUCCUGGUGUAGCGGUGGAAUGCGCAGUGUUCAGGAGGAACACCGAUGGAUCUGGCAGAUCUCUGGGCCGUAACUGACGCUGAUGAGCGAAAGGGUGGGGAGCAAACAGGCUUAUAUACCCUGGUAGUCCACCCCGUACCCGUUGGGAACUAGUUGUGGGGUCCAUUCCACGGAUUCCGUGACCUUCUGCGCAUUAUCUUCCCCUCCUGGGGAGUACCGCCGCCGGCUAAAACUCACAGGAAUUGACGGGCUACCCGCACAUUGCGGCGGAGCAUGCGGAUUAAUUCGAUGCAACGGCGUGAGAAUCUUACCAAGGCUUGAGAUAUUCCAUACUCUCGUAAAAGUACGGAACUCUCUGAGACACUGGUGAACACGUCGUGCAUGCUUGUCGUCAUCUCGUGUCGUGAGAUUCUGCGUUGGUCUCGCAUCGAGC